AUUGAACGCUGGCGGCAUGCCUUACACAUGCAAGUCGAACGGCAGCGGGCCUUCGGGUGCCGGCGAGUGGCGAACGGGUGAGUAAUGCAUCGGAACGUGCCAUUGAGUGGGGGAUAACGUAGCGAAAGUUACGCUAAUACCGCAUAUUCUGUGAGCAGGAAAGCAGGGGACCGCAAGGCCUUGCGCUCUUUGAGCGGCCGAUGUCAGAUUAGCUAGUUGGUGAGGUAAAGGCUUACCAAGGCGACGAUCUGUAGCGGGUCUGAGAGGAUGAUCUGCCACACUGGAACUGAGACACGGUCCAGACUCCUACGGGAGGCAGCAGUGGGGAAUUUUGGACAAUGGGCGCAAGCCUGAUCCAGCCAUGCCGCGUGAGUGAAGAAGGCCUC
RNAcentral lists this ribosomal RNA (386 nucleotides) under uncultured bacterium. Its description in RNAcentral is "bacterial SSU rRNA". It matches the Rfam family "Bacterial small subunit ribosomal RNA", at positions 30 to 418 of the family's 1533-position model. The record is from RNAcentral.